CCAUCAAAUCGAGGGGUUCACCUGCUUGAAGGUCUUGAAUUUAAAAGACACCCGUGUCUGCCGAUUGCCACCAAAGCUUCCCACCAGUUUGAACCUACCAGAAGUCUCAUCCACUUCACUGCAAAGAGUUCCAAAAUUGUUAGAGCUGCGGAAUUUAGUUACAUUGUAUCCAUCAGAUUUGGGUCAUUAUUGCGAUAAGUCGGGCCAAAUACAACCUUCCAAGUUGAGGGGGAUCGGGAAGCAACACAGACUAGCAUAUUUGAUAUUGCAUAUGAACAUCACUCCCAUUUCUAAGAAGUUCAGUUCCCUUUCUCAGCUACGGAAACUUGACUUGAGGUGCGCACAUUUGCAGUCUUGCCCACCUCUUCCAUCCAGCCUGUCAACGUUGAUUCUUAAUAGACUUGAAGAAAGGACCAAACUGCCACAACUUUCUAAUUUGAAAAGUCUGUCAUGGUUAGAGUUCUGCGGAUGCUCUAUGGAAGACGACACUGUUGGAAACCUUGGAAUCGCAGAGUUGGACUCCUUGAGUUACAUCGGUUUCUCGUGUUGCAAGUUGAGAAAUCUCAAUGGGUUUCACCUGCCAGAAAGUAUAUGUCAACUGAAUAUAACUUGUUGUUCCUCUCUCAAGACUAUAUCUGCUCUAUCACAUUUAAAGAAGUUGCUAACAUUGGAUGUUUCGGGCGCAACAAAGCUAGUCGAGAUCCAAGAGCUGGGGGAAUUGGAUUCCUUGCUAAUGUUAAAUAUUAAUUUUUGUGAUCGCUUGAAGAGAUUAGAGAACCUGUCGAGGUUGAAAAGGCUAGAAACAAUUACGAUAAGGAAUUGUCAAAAGUUCAAAGGCAUUGACGACAUCAGAGAAUUGGAAUCCCUGAUAGAUCUUCAUAUACAAGGUUGUGAUUGCGAAGAUGUAAACAUCAUCAGGCGAAAUCAGCCAAUGUUCUAGGAAGAGGCGCUUUGAAGAUUUGGAUUGAGGUGAUUGAAUUCAGCAACUCUGAACUCAACUUACGAAUGAAGAGUGGAUAUAGAAACACAACAAAUCUCUAUCUUGCAGUAUGUUCUGUACCUGACAUGCAGGUCAUACUUCCUUUAUUCAUCCAGACUUGCUGCUUAGUGAUCCACAAUGUCCGUGCAGACAGUUCAAAAGAUGAUGGCAAGUACUCAUGAGGACGUCCAUAGGUAGUAAAUUUUUGACAUUUAAUACCCAUCAGCUCUUCUAUCGGGCUCCAUUGUCUGGUGAUCUUCCAUCAGCGGCGCCUUGGAUCUAGCGACCAGCAAGUGAGGUCAUGAAGUUGCACCACUGGGUCUGCAUCAUCGACUAUACAACAAGGCCUUGAGUAGCUGAUCAAGUUCUAGAGGCACUAUCAAGUCCAACAAAGGAGGAGGAAGAGUUGAAGAAAUGGUCGUCACUGGAAGACACUGCGAAUCAGGAGAUUUAAGUCUCUAGAAUGAAUUUUCAAAAGAUCUCGGUCUAAUUGACGUGCAUUUAUUUACACUCUAAAAAAGGAUGAUAAUAUUUUCAGUCACCUCUUAAUCGAGGGAUGCUACAGAGUUGAUACAGAAGCUGUUGGACAUGAGUUUCAAGUUUAGGAACCACAGCUCAUGUUUUCAUGCUCCUCUAUUAGUGAGAUGUGGUAUUGUGUGCUAAAUCGGAAAAUACACAUGGUGUGGCGUUCUGAGCUGUCUCACUAACUCGAGCAACUAAGCAUCUAGAUUGAGCUAUGAGUAUUAGAAAAUAGUAUUUAUAAUGGAGAUUUGUUGGCUCUGAACAAUUUUGCAGGAUCCACUGGUGAUGAAAGGAACUAGCUUGGUGCCUUUAAUCGGAAUAAGAUGCCUGUGAUCUACUGGUAAUUUGAUACACAAUUCUUAAUCAUUCCAGGUUUAGUGCCCUUUUCGCCUCUCAAAUCUUUUAAAGAGGAAAUUUUUUUGGAAUGUUUACGGUUUUAUUUCCGAA
Molecule: non-coding RNA, 1948 nt
Organism: Punica granatum (pomegranate)
Lineage: Eukaryota; Viridiplantae; Streptophyta; Magnoliopsida; Myrtales; Lythraceae
Source: RefSeq, a predicted model, not a curated record